AGCUCCAAUAGCGUAUAUUAAAGUUGUUGCGGUUAAAAGCUCGUAGUUGGAUUUCUGCUGAGGACAACCGGUCCGCCCUCUGGGUGAGCAUCUGGAUUGGCCUGGGCAUCAUCUUGGAGAACGUUACUGCACUUGACUGCGUGGUUCGGUAUCCUGGACAUUUACUUUGAGGAAAUUAGAGUGUUUCGAGCAGGCGCACGCCCUGAAUAUAUUAGCAUGGAAUAAUAAUAUAGGACCUCGGCUCUAUUUUGUUGGUUUCUAGAGCUGAGGUAAUGAUUAAUAGGGAUAGUUGGGGGGCAUUUGUAUUUAAUUGUCAGAGGUGAAAUUCUUGGAUUUAUUAAAGACAGACUACUGCGAAAGCAUUUGCCAAGGAUG
Molecule: ribosomal RNA, 375 nt
Filed under: uncultured eukaryote
Lineage: Eukaryota
Description: SSU rRNA
Rfam family: Eukaryotic small subunit ribosomal RNA
Source: RNAcentral